CCUCCUCCUCUUCUCCUUUCCCUCCUCCUCCUUCUUCUUCUCCUUUUCCUCCUCCUCCUCCUCGCUGGCCCAUGUGCCACUCAAGCUUUCUGGAUCUAUUGGAUUUUCUUGAGCUAAGUUAUGAGAAAGGUUCUUACUUAUAAAUCCCCAUAUGGAUGAACUCGCCCCUUCUCUCCCAUUAUCCCAGGACAGAUCCCAGGACUCUCUAUCAGGACUUUAUAGUUGACUUUUCCCCAUUAAUGUGACUGUUUGAGCCUCGCCAUCCACUUGCUCUCCAAUUCACUUUCACUCUGCUGUAAUCCCGUCUCCAAUUCUUCAUUGUCCAUAUCAGUAACAUGAUCUUCGCAAACGUCUACGACUAAAGGGCACAGUGGGGAGUGGUGAGACUGGGAUGAGGAAGACCUGAGAUCAAAUCUCGUCUCAGACACUUUCCAUCCGUGUGGCUCUGGGUUAGUCGCAUAACAAUAAUACUGGUGAAGUGAUAAUUGUAAAGUGUUUAGUGCAUAGUAAGUACUAAUAAAUGUUAGCUGUUAUUAUUUUUACUUAUUCUUUGCCCCAGUUUCCUCUAUAAAAUGGGGAUAAUAAUAGCACCCCUGUCCCACUGAGAUUUUCACUCCUUCCCCUAAGAUCUCUGGACCCAAAAAUCUUUCUUUCUUUUUUCCUUUUCUUUUCCUUUCUCUUUCUUUCUUUCUUUCUUUCUUUCUUUCUUUCUUUCUUUCUUUCUUUCUUUCUUUCUUUCUUUCUUUCUUUCUUUCUUUCUUCUUUCUUUCUUUCUUUCUUUCCUUCCUUCCUUCCUUUUUUUCCUGAAACAAUCAGGGUUAAGUGAUUUGUCCAGGGUCACACAGCUAGGAAGUGUUAAGUGUCUGAGGUCAAAUUUGAACUCAGGUCUUCCUGACUUCAGGGCUGGUGCUCUAUUCACUGCGCCACCUAGCUGCCCCCAGACCAUUUUCUUGCAGAGAAAAAUGACACAAACUAAUCUUGCCUUCCAUACUUCUAGGAGCAUCAACCUCACCAAUCUUGGGAAGGUCUGAAAUCUCUAGCUCCUUAACAUUUGUCCUAGCCCAGGUGUUUCUUGGAGAUGCCCAAAUAUCUUUUGAGACAUCACUCUUUAGUACCUCACUUUUAAGGUAUCACGGAGGAAGAAGGAAAUUGUCCUGUCACCAUGUCUAUUAGAAUUGGGAGGAUCAAAUGAGAUAAUUGUAAAGUAUUUAGCAAUGUUCCUGGCACAUGAUAGGUGCUAUAAAAUGCUCAAUUUAAAAAGAAAACAACAAAACCUUAAAAAACCAAACCCAGUAAAGUUCCUUCUAUGUACAUGUUACAACCAGUUUAGUAACCCUAGGCACUGAAAGGAACCAGGUUAGUCUGGCUUGACCUGUUCUUCCUAAAGGCACGGAGGCGCUUUGUGACAGGGACUUCCUUCUUGAGGUAUUCACUCACUGUCACUAGAACAAUAUUGCAAUCCUGGCUUGCAGCAGCUCUUUGAAAAUCUCAAGUGCCUCGUGCUUUCCCCCUUCAUUUCCAAUCGCCACUGAGGAAAGAGGAAGUCAGGGUCCUUCUUGGACCUGGUUUUUGAACCCAAGUCUAAGAUUCUAGCUAUCUCCAAUAAGUUUCAUCUCAUCAGAUUUGACCUAGGCUUCUAGGCGUUCAAGAUCUUCCUGGUUCCUUCCUCUAGAAUCCAGCUCUGGUCAAAAAUAUUAAGCCCAGAGGCAAUGUGAUAUAGAGAGAGAGAAGUUGGAAAGACCCGAGUUCAAGUUCCCCUUUAGACAUAUGGUGUCUAUGAAACCUUGGGCAAGACACUUAACCUCAAAUUCUUGGGCAUCUGAAGGUCAGACUUGGCAGCAUGGAUCCUUGGCAGAAAUGUUCUUAUAACAUUCCACAAGCUGCUUAAGUUGCUGGGAAAAGGAGCUGGAAACCUAUGAGAGAAACCGCAAGACGGCACUCAGUGCCAUUCCCUGGGGCUCACGGCAGAUUGCCAAGCUCAUGGCUCCGAGUGGUAUGAUAGCCAUUUCUUUCUUCCUCUUCGGCACCUUGGAAGUCCUG
Molecule: long non-coding RNA, 2040 nt
Organism: Sarcophilus harrisii (Tasmanian devil)
Lineage: Eukaryota; Metazoa; Chordata; Mammalia; Dasyuromorphia; Dasyuridae
Source: Ensembl